AAGAACGCUUCUACUAUCUAGUUUGUGGAUAAUACAUCAAGCUAAGCAUCAUGAUGAUGAAGUUAUUCCUCGUUACUUUACUUUGCGCGACGCUGGUGAUCGCUGAUUCACUGGCCCAUGACUUCCAAGAUGCGGCGCGAGGACCAGUAAAGGGAUUUGUCAAUGUAGCCGAUCACGUUAAGGGCCAUGCAAGUGGUUUAGUGCGACGAUCGGCAGAGGGUCCACCAGGACAUGGACAACAUCCACCAUCACCACCAGGACCAACAGACGGAGAUUCAUCGUAGAAUCACAUCAAGGAUCAUCGUUGAAUAUCCUAUAUGGGAUAUUGAAGCUGACGAUUGUAAGGCAGAUAAAGGUGAUUCACAUGGCACUUUGACACGUAUACUAAUUAACACGUUAUAUAAGAUUACUUUGCACAAAUGAGAUAACUCCGAUGAUUUUAGAAGAAUAAAACUUAACAUUGCAAGAUAA
Nylanderia fulva is the source of this 471-nucleotide long non-coding RNA. RefSeq lists it as uncharacterized. Lineage: Eukaryota; Metazoa; Arthropoda; Insecta; Hymenoptera; Formicidae. The record is from RefSeq and is a predicted model, not a curated record.